UGCCUUUACCGCGAGCGGCCGCAGCGGCGCUCGCCCCCGCGACUCCAUCCGAGUCUCCGCCGCUGCGGGUUACCCCGUCCGGCGGUAGCGGGAAGCGAGAGGUAUUGGGGCUGAGGCGGUGAGGGCAGCGGGUGUGGGCUUUACGCCUUACCCUCAGCUCUGAGGUAAUAAUUUCUUGACCAGAGAUGGGUGCAUUUGUGAAAAGUUUGAUGAAAGGCUCGUUGGACCCAAAAUAAUUCGGAGUGAAUUUACUAGGUGAAAGACCAAUGACCAAUUAUUAAUAAUCUGCUAAAAAUAAUAUUUGAAGUUGUAAAGAAAGGAGCAAAUACCAGUGAGAAGUUUCCUGUAGAGUAUGCCAGGAUAUUUUUCCAGUUUCAAAAUCAGAUUACUUAAAUUGACAUCAAAGCAUGUUCUAGAAGGAAAUGACAAAUAUAACAGAGGUGUGCCAUGCCAGUGUUGUUGCUUACAGUGGAUAUUCUAUAAAUAUAUAUUGAUUGGAGUGGCAUAAGUACAGUCCUAGGCUUUUACAAGGGUGUCGUGAGGCAAUCGGUCAUCCUAGCAGUGCGGCCAGAUCCCGGCAAAGAAAAACUUGCCUAUACUCUGCGUGGGAAUUGUUGGUGAUACUGUGCUGUAUCGGUGUGUCAACUGGCUCAGGGAUGAAGACCAAGAGGAGGAGAGACAUAAUUUGGCAGUAUUAAAUUAAGAGUGUAUUUGGGCAUCACUCCCAUUACCACAAACCGGUCAGCCGCCUGCCCGUACCCCACUGAUAGGGUGAAAGUCACAACUGUAGGCUCAUGCCCUCAAACCAAAGCAGCCAGUUGGAAGGAUGCCUGUUUCAGGGUGGGGUGAGACGCCUUCAGAACAUCUAGCCUCGACUACAAAAGGUGGAAAUGAUGGAGACAAGGUGCUCAGAAUUUGAGGAAGAACCAAAUGCUUGGGGAGAGUCACAGAGUUCAAAGAAAUGGCUCAAGGGCUUGGUCCCAAAGCCAGACAUCAGGCUAAUACAGACCUCUGACAAAUGGGGCCAGGAAAGGCAGGACUGGUUCCUUCAACUGCAUAUUAUUUGAAUCUUGGGAUUUCCAGAGAGGGGGAAAAAAAAAGGUAUGGCAGUGUUAGCAGUGGUCCAGGGGGCUACUACAUGCCAGCUGCAAAGUAAUAGCAGCAAGAUACCCACACAGAGCCUGCGUCAAUCCAGGGCAGACAAUCUGACCAUCUCUGCAACUGUUCAAGGAGAAGGUACACGCACACCAGCAUCAAAAACAGGAUUCCUCCCGCAUAAUACUCUAUCAACUCUACUGUUUUGUACUCUCCUGAGCCCUGAUUGCAGUGCUCUGCACACAGUAAGCGCUCAAGAAAUAUGACUGGCUGACUGAUUUUUUUGGAAGGCAGCGAGGAAGGAGUCGGGGGACAGGGAGAGGUUGAAGAGAUAAGUGAAAGAAGGAAGAAAAAGAGGAUUUUUCACAAGGUGACAGGAGGGGGUUCAGGUGGCAAGGUUAGUCUGUUGGAUCAGGAAGGAGAUCUGAGAGCAAGAGGUGAUUCAGGGUGGAGGUUGGCAGGCUGAGUGCCAUGGAGGGACAGGAGGGCCACUGGUGGUGGGAGGAACUAAGUCCAAGUGGGGAAGUGACCGCUCCACUACUACCUGAUGACUGAUUCUAGGGCUAGGAAGUUUCAAUGGUCCAUCUGGAAAAAGUGUUGCAAUGAGAUGUUAAUGUGAACACAUUGCACUUAGUGACCGCUCCACUAAUACCUGAUGACUGAUUCUAGGGCUAGGAAAUUUCAAUGGUCCAUCUGGAAAAAGUGUUGCAAUGAGAUGUUAAUGUGAACAUAUUGCACUUUAUUCAAGUGGUCGAAACAGUAAACUUUCACAAACCACAUUCCUUACCUAUUGAAGCCAAACUAGAGCAUCUCAAGAGAUAUAAGUAAUUGGAGACCGGUGUUCUAAAUACAACAGUCAUGGCCUGCAAAGAGGAGCUAGAUUUUCUGCUUUACCUAGUGAAUCUCUCAGGUUCAAUUGUAAGACUCUUGAAGGCAGGGAUUGUGCUUUUUACUAUACUCUUUCGCAGGCUUAAUUUAGUGCUCUGUCUCUAGUCGACAUCGAAUACUAUUGAUCGAGUAGAACAACAAGAUCAAUUCUUUGGCCUUAAAAUACAACUUGAUACCAGAUAAUCAGAUCAUUCACAGUCCAAGAGGGAGGGAGAACAGGAAUUUAACCCCCAUUUUACAGAUGGG
Molecule: long non-coding RNA, 2229 nt
Organism: Tachyglossus aculeatus (Australian echidna)
Lineage: Eukaryota; Metazoa; Chordata; Mammalia; Monotremata; Tachyglossidae
Exons: 5
Source: RefSeq, a predicted model, not a curated record